UUAAGCCUCACCAGUUUCCAAUCCAAAUUUAGAGAUUCUUCCCUAAAAAAGGAAUCACAACCCACGAUAAUCAAAUUUAGAGAUUAUUCCCUAAAAAAAUGGAAGAAAGACAUGAAUAUUGUAAGCGUUCUAUGAGUUUAUGAAUAUUGCUGACAAGAACUUCAGGAGAGUGACCUUAGAAACCGUAAGGUUGCUUCAUUGUGACCAAG
Molecule: long non-coding RNA, 209 nt
Filed under: Actinidia chinensis (golden kiwifruit)
Lineage: Eukaryota; Viridiplantae; Streptophyta; Magnoliopsida; Ericales; Actinidiaceae
Description: long non-coding RNA (ACHI_LNC006144)
Source: RNAcentral